GGAGGAUUCAAGCGUUAUCCGGAUUUAUUGGGUGUAAAGGGAGCGUAGACGGUGAUGUAAGUCUGGAGUGAAAGGCGGGGGCCCAACCCCCGGACUGCUCUGGAAACUAUGUGACUGGAGUGCAGGAGAGGUGAGCGGAAUUCCUAGUGUAGCGGUGAAAUGCGUAGAUAUUAGGAGGAACACCAGUGGCGAAGGCGGCUCACUGGACUGUAACUGACGUUGAGGCUCGAAAGCGUGGGGAGCAAA
This 246-nucleotide ribosomal RNA is filed under the name uncultured bacterium. RNAcentral's name for it is "partial 16S ribosomal RNA". It matches the Rfam family "Bacterial small subunit ribosomal RNA", at positions 527 to 772 of the family's 1533-position model. The record is from RNAcentral.